Molecule: transfer-messenger RNA, 373 nt
Filed under: Spirochaetota
Lineage: Bacteria; Pseudomonadati
Also listed under: 1 other name
Description: B62-G9 sp003645695 Standard tmRNA
Rfam family: transfer-messenger RNA
About the family: Bacterial tmRNA, also known as 10Sa RNA or SsrA, is named for its dual tRNA and mRNA-like properties. Its role is to liberate the mRNA from a stalled ribosome.
Source: RNAcentral
GGGGGUGAAAUUGGUUUCGACGUAGGAGAAGAGAUUAGAGAUGCGUUCCGGAGAUUGGUCAAUGUGAACUCCGUUAAAAACAUGACUAUUUAAAAUAAUCGCAGAUGAUUAUUACCAAGAAUUUGCCCUAGCGGCAUAAUUCCGUUCCACUCAGUUAAUCUUCUGAAUUGAGAUGGAACGUCGACUAAGAAGAUCGGAUUAUAUUUAUAGUAACAAAAUAUAAUCUUAAAAUAUGUUACUAACCCUCCCACCUUUUAGUUUCGCUAACCCCACCAUAGAGUGAGGUGGAUGAGGUGUAUAAAGGUUAGCUAUGAACGUAGUAUCAAAAAUUGAACUUUUGCGGACGUGGGUUCGACUCCCACCACCUCCACCA